UCGAAUGAUGAUCAUCCUGAUAGGGACAUCAGAUGCAAAGCACAUGAUGUGAACAGGUCAAGAGAUUUUAGUAGAUGCUUCUUGUUUAUCUGAAG
RNAcentral lists this small nucleolar RNA (95 nucleotides) under Aspergillus wentii DTO 134E9. Its description in RNAcentral is "A. fumigatus snoRNA Afu_335". It matches the Rfam family "A. fumigatus snoRNA Afu_335". The record is from Rfam by way of RNAcentral. Lineage: Eukaryota; Fungi; Ascomycota; Eurotiomycetes; Eurotiales; Aspergillaceae.